AUGGGCGGCACCAUGGUGCUUCCGCCUGCUCUGCUCCCGCGCCGUAGCGCCGCCGCCGCCGAUCUGCACGCCUGCUCCUCCCGCGUGCGCGUGAACCCCGCCUUGAUGGCGAACCCCGCGGCUGCCAAGAGGCCAAAGCGUCCCGGAUCCGUGCACGACGUGCAGCCGCCGGCGAAGCGCGUACGCGGUGCCUGCUCGGGGGGCGAGCUCCAUGCCGUGGUCCCCGCCAACAUCAAGAACAGCAAGCUUCCGUGUCCCAGCAGCGGCAAGGAUCUGAAGAGUCCGACGUGCCUCCACCGUUCCGGGAUCAAGAACCAGGUCGCCGAAUCUCCGGCGAGCGCGACGCAAUCGAAGCCACCGAUCAGCAUGCGCCAACUGAUCGAGAAUGCUCGCCUCGCCAUGGAUUGGGCUCACCCUACCUCCGAAGAAGAGGUCAGCCGUCGACACGACAUCGAGCGCAGCCGAGCGGAGGCCCGGCGAAAGAUGGAGCAGAUGGCGGACACCGUGUAG
RNAcentral lists this ribosomal RNA (510 nucleotides) under Triticum aestivum (bread wheat). Its description in RNAcentral is "partial small subunit ribosomal RNA". The record is from RNAcentral. Lineage: Eukaryota; Viridiplantae; Streptophyta; Magnoliopsida; Poales; Poaceae.